AAGUCGUAACAAGGUUUCCGUAGGUGAACCUGCGGAAGGAUCAUUAAACAAUUUAUUUUAUCCAUAUGGAUGAUUUAAAAAAUCCAUAUCCACCCUUGUGUGAAUUCACUGAAAAGUUUUACUUCGGCAGUGUUUUUGAUAUAGAAAAAUUUAAAGUAGUUUUUAAUUAUUUUAUUUUUUGUUAUUUUCAUACCUGCCGAAAGUAUUUUUUAAACUUUCAUCACUCUUCCAAAAUUUUUAAAUCUUAUUUUACGAAAUUUUUAAUAUUUCAACCAAAAUUAAAUACAACUUUCAACAACG
Molecule: unclassified non-coding RNA, 300 nt
Filed under: Endogonomycetes sp.
Lineage: Eukaryota; Fungi; Mucoromycota; Endogonomycetes
Description: partial contains small subunit ribosomal RNA and internal transcribed spacer 1
Rfam family: Eukaryotic small subunit ribosomal RNA (bases 1-46)
Source: RNAcentral